This is a long non-coding RNA of Lagopus muta (rock ptarmigan), 1269 nucleotides long. RefSeq lists it as uncharacterized. The transcript is spliced from 3 exons. Lineage: Eukaryota; Metazoa; Chordata; Aves; Galliformes; Phasianidae. The record is from RefSeq and is a predicted model, not a curated record.
AAGGGCUGGAGCCAGGACUCACCCCUUCCCACACCUCAUUUAAGGGUUGGCAGUGGGGGCAAAGGCAUUUUGCUGGAGCUCUCUGUGUACCUGAGGCGUUCUGAAGUUCAGUUCAGCAAGGCUGGCAGCUGGCUAUUCACUUACUCAGACACUCACAAGUGCACCGAGCCCAGCACCACUUGGAGAUGACCCACUUCUGCGCUGUGUCAUUCUUCAUUCCUCAAGGUCACCCAGAGAUUGCUUUUGACAGAGGUCUAUACAGCCCAUUAAAAAAAAAUCAACUGAAUACAGACAGUACUUGGAUUUCCACAUGCACCAUGCCACGAGCUCAUCUUUGGGAGGCUGUGGGAAAGAUUGUUUAAAAGAAUAAUGUUCAAGGAGUUUUAUUGUUUAUUUGUACUGCCUUUCUGCAGUAUUUAUAAGUCUUAUUCUGCUAUUUGUUCUUCUUAUUGGUGAUUCUAAGGAUAUUUUGUACCUUGUGCACAUUUUUUUUAAAUUAAAAUUCUGGGGGUAAAUGUUACUCUCAGCUAUUUUGGAGUAAAGCCAGAAUUAAUGCUGUCAUGUAGCUUUCUUCAUUUUUGUAAUGCUUUAUAUCAAUGCUUUGAGCCAGAGUCCCUGCAUAACGUGGAAUUGAAAUUCUAAACAAAAAAUAUUUCAGUGAAAUGUUUUUCCUCUUUUUUCUGGUUAGUCAAAAUAACAUAUUUCACAGGAAAACAAGUUCUGAUCAUUCUGUUUGUGAAAAAUUCAAAAUGGAUUACACUGCUCUAAAAUGUAAAUCCCUGAAACCUGAAUGACACAUUUCAACUACCCACAAAUCACAUACUCUUUCCCAACAAACUUUUCUAGUUUUGUUUUCUUCAUUACAAAAAACUGUCAAAAGCUUAGGGUGACACCUACAACAGAAAAUCAGACUGCUGCCCACCCCUACUAAUUUCUAUAACAGUCUUUAGCUAUAAGGAGGAAAAAUGAAGCAUUAGGCAUAAAGCUGUUUCAGUGACAAGAUGCAUCUGAAUUUCUGUUUUCUGAUGAAUAAGAGUAUCUUUGAUUUUUGCCUUUGCUGCUUUCCAGUUCUCUGACAGUUGUUUCUUUGUUUUCUUCAGCCCCAGCAAAUAUACAAUCUCUCUUGAUUUAAAAACUGCAAAUACUUUUCUGUGUAUAUGUGACUGUGUGCACACAUGCUAUGUCAUUUCUUUGUGUGGUAGCAAUUAAGAGCAUGUACAUAUCAAGGCUUAUGUUUUCAUCUGGCCGUGCCUUAAAAUAUAUUUAUAA